This 531-nucleotide ribosomal RNA is filed under the name Pseudatrichia bupennis. RNAcentral describes it as "partial 16S ribosomal RNA". It matches the Rfam family "Bacterial large subunit ribosomal RNA", at positions 1808 to 2606 of the family's 2925-position model. Lineage: Eukaryota; Metazoa; Arthropoda; Insecta; Diptera; Scenopinidae. The record is from RNAcentral.
CAAAAACAUGUCCUUUUGGUUUUUUAAUUUAAGGUCUAACCUGCCCACUGAUAUAAAUUAAAUGGCCGCAGUAUUUUAACUGUGCAAAGGUAGCAUAAUCAUUAGUCUUUUAAUUGGAGGCUUGUAUGAAUGGUUGGACGAAACAUAAACUGUAUCAUAAAUAAUUAAUAAUAGAAUUUUAUUUUUUAGUUAAAAAGCUAAAAUUUAAUUGAAAGACGAGAAGACCCUAUAGAUCUUUAUAAUUAAAUAAUUUAUUAUUAUUUAGAUUUAUUUUAUAAUUAAUUAUUUAAUUAUUUUGUUGGGGUGACAUUAAAAUUUAUUUAACUUUUAAUAAAAAAUAUUACAUUUAUAUAUGAAUUAUUGAUCCAUUAUUAGUGAUUAAAAAAUUAAGUUACCUUAGGGAUAACAGCGUAAUCUUUUUGGAGAGUUCUUAUCAAUAAAAAGGUUUGCGACCUCGAUGUUGGACUAAAAUAAAUUUUGGGUGUAGCAGUUCAAAGGUAAGUCUGUCGACUUUAAUUUUUUACAUGAUCU